UAGACAAACAAAUCUGAUGGUUUUCCAACGCGGGGCCAGGCAACAUGCAAUUGACCAUGUGAGAAACAUGGGUUUUCUACAUUACUACUCCAAACACUUUAUGAUUGCCCUUGGGACUUGUUUACGAUCGUAGCAAAAGCAAACCGCACUGAAAACUGUAGUCGUUUAAACACAAAUGCACAUCAGUCGGAAUCAUUGGGAUGCGCGUAAUUUUUUAUCGCUAACCGUGUACAGUUGCAAAGACGUGGAUGGUUUAUAUUUCACAACAUUAUAACUAUUGAUUCAUUGAUUAUUGAAAUACUGGCAAAUUCCGGUGGAAAGUUGACUACAUCAUAUUGCCAAUAUAGCUCGUUCGCUCAACCAAUCAUGGUUUCUGUAAUUUUGAGAGAUAUCUGGAAACACCUUCUGAAUAAGUUCAUCUCUUGAUUGCGUUAACUUACAAAAACUUUGAAGAAAGUAAAUGCAUGUAGUCAACAUGUCUA
Molecule: long non-coding RNA, 482 nt
Organism: Eupeodes corollae
Lineage: Eukaryota; Metazoa; Arthropoda; Insecta; Diptera; Syrphidae
Exons: 3
Source: RefSeq, a predicted model, not a curated record